RNAcentral lists this transfer RNA (72 nucleotides) under Bos taurus (domestic cattle). It matches the Rfam family "tRNA". Rfam says of the family: Transfer RNA (tRNA) molecules are approximately 80 nucleotides in length. The record is from Rfam by way of RNAcentral. Lineage: Eukaryota; Metazoa; Chordata; Mammalia; Artiodactyla; Bovidae. RNAcentral also lists the same sequence under 3 other names.
UCCCUGGUGUCUAGUGGCUAAGACUCUGCACUCCCAAUGCAGAGGGCCUGGGUUGGCUCCCUGGUCAGGGAA